GCUGGGCAUGGUGGCGCGUGCCUGUAAUCCCAGCUACUUGGGAGGCUGAGGCAGGGGAAUUGCUUGAGCCCAGGAGGUGGAGGUUGCAGUGAGCCAAGAUUGCACCAUCGCACUCCAGCCUGGGCAACAGAGUCAGACUCCAUCUCAA
RNAcentral lists this non-coding RNA (148 nucleotides) under Pan troglodytes (chimpanzee). Lineage: Eukaryota; Metazoa; Chordata; Mammalia; Primates; Hominidae. The record is from Rfam by way of RNAcentral.